UGAGCAAGUCACUGAAGUUGUCUGGUACC
This 29-nucleotide non-coding RNA is filed under the name Homo sapiens (human). Lineage: Eukaryota; Metazoa; Chordata; Mammalia; Primates; Hominidae. The record is from RNAcentral.